UGAGUACGAGAUGCUACGGCAUCGAAGCAGUCUAUGUCAUACUUCCAAGAAAAGCUUGCAAUGUCAUAAACAAAUAAUGCCUGUACCAUAACCGACACAGGUGGGUAGGUAGAGUAUACUAAGGGGCGCGAGAUAACUCUCUCUAAGGAACUCGGCAAAAUGACUCCGUAACUUCGGGAGAAGGAGUGCCUUAUUUUUAUAAGGUUGCAAUAACAAGAUCCAAGCAACUGUUUACCAAAAACACAGGUCUCCGCUAAGUCGUAAGACGAUGUAUGGGGGCUGACGCUUGCCCAGUGCCAGAAGGUUAAAGAAGUUGGUUAGCAUUAGCGAAGCUGAUAACUGAAGCCCUGGUGAACGGCGGCCGUAACGAUAACGGUCCUAAGGUAGCGAAAUUCCUUGUCGGGUAAGUUCCGACCCGCACGAAAGGCGUAAUGAUUUGGAUACUGUCUCGGAGAGGGGCUCGGUGAAAUAGACUUGUCUGUGAAGAUGCGGACUACCUGCACCUGGACAGAAAGACCCUAUGAAGCUUUACUGUAACUUGAGAUUGAAAUUGGACUUUAUCUGCGCAGUAUAGGUGGGAGACGUUGAAAAUAUUCUUGCGGGAAUAUUGGAGUCAUCAGUGAGAUACCACUCUUAUAAUGUUAGAUUUCUAACUUUGUAUCAUUAUCUGGUCAAAGAACAGUUUCAGGCGGGCAGUUUGACUGGGGCGGUCGCCUCCCAAACGGUAACGGAGGCGCACAAAGGUUUCCUCUGAACGUGUAGAAAUCGUAUCUAGAGUGUAAAGGCAUAAGGAAGCUUGACUGUGAGACCUACAAGUCGAGCAGGGACGAAAGUCGGUCUUAGUGAUCUGACGGUGCUGAGUGGAAAGGCCGUCACUCAACGGAUAAAAGUUACUCUAGGAUAACAGGCUGAUCUCCCCCAAGAGUUCACAUCGACGGGGAGGUUUGGCACUUCGAUGUCGGCUCAUCGCAUCCUGGGGCGGUAGUACGUCCCAAGGGUUGGGCUGUUCGCCCAUGAAAGCGGUACGCGAGCUGGGUUCAGAACGUCGUGAGACAGUUCGGUCCAUAUCCGGUGUAGGCGUUAGAAUAUUGAGAGGAGCCUUCUUUAGUACGAGAGGACCGAGAAGGACAUACCUCUGGUGUACCAGUUAUCGUGCCAACGGUAAACGCUGGGUAGCCAUGUAUGGAGAGGAUAACCGCUGAAAGCAUCUAAGUGGGAAGCCCACCUCAAGAUAAG
RNAcentral lists this ribosomal RNA (1236 nucleotides) under metagenome. RNAcentral describes it as "bacterial LSU rRNA". It matches the Rfam family "Bacterial large subunit ribosomal RNA", at positions 1564 to 2808 of the family's 2925-position model. The record is from RNAcentral.